RNAcentral lists this ribosomal RNA (253 nucleotides) under uncultured bacterium. RNAcentral describes it as "partial 16S ribosomal RNA". It matches the Rfam family "Bacterial small subunit ribosomal RNA", at positions 524 to 776 of the family's 1533-position model. The record is from RNAcentral.
UACAGAGGGUGCAAGCGUUAAUCGGAAUUACUGGGCGUAAAGCGUGCGUAGACGGUUAUGUAAGUCGGGUGUGAAAGCCCCGGGCUCAACCUGGGAAUUGCAUUCGAGACUGCAUAGCUAGGGUGCGGAAGAGGGAAGCGGAAUUUCCGGUGUAGCGGUGAAAUUCGUAGAUAUUCGCAAGAACACCAGUGGCGAAGGCGGCUCACUGGCCCGGUACUGACGCUGAGGUGCGAAAGCGUGGGGAGCAAACAGG